RNAcentral lists this ribosomal RNA (1466 nucleotides) under human gut metagenome. Its description in RNAcentral is "bacterial LSU rRNA". It matches the Rfam family "Bacterial large subunit ribosomal RNA", at positions 850 to 2302 of the family's 2925-position model. The record is from RNAcentral.
UGGUUCUCCCCGAAAUAGCUUUAGGGCUAGCCUCAGGGAAAAGAUUGCAGGCGGUAGAGCACUGAUCAGGAGAGGGACCUACCCGGUUACCAAACCCAGUCAAACUCCGAAUGGCUGCAAUCAUACCUGGGAGUCAGACUGCGACUAAUAAGGGCCGUAGUCAAAAGGGAAACAGCCCAGACCAUCAGCUAAGGUCCCCAAUGCCGUGCUAAGUGGCGAAGGAUGUGGCAUUUCAUAAACAACCAGGAUGUUGGCUCAGAAGCAGCCACCAUUUAAAGAGUGCGUAAUAGCUCACUGGUCGAGAGACGCUGCGCCGAAAAUGUCCGGGGCUCAAGCACGGAACCGAAGCUAUGGCAUGAUAGCAAUAUCAUGGGUAGGGGAGCGUUCUUAUAAGGAAGAAGCAUGACCGGAAGGACAUGUGGACGAAUAAGAAGUGAGAAUGCCGGUAUGAGUAUCGAAAAGAAAGGUGAGAAUCCUUUCCACCGAAAGCCCGAGGGUUCCUGAGCAACGAUCGUCGACUCAGGGUAAGUCGGGACCUAAGCCGAGGCGAGAAGCGUAGGCGAUGGACAACAGGUUGAAAUUCCUGUACCGGAUCAAGUCGAUCGAGCGAAGGAGCGACGCAGGAGGGCACAUGAUCGCGCGGCUGGAAGAGCGCGUCCAAGUGCGUAUGUUGCAGCAGAGGAAAACCCCUGCAGCUAAAAGCAGAGACAUGAUGGGGAGUUAAAGGAAACUUUGACGAACUCAUGGAUCCCACACUGCCAAGAAAAACUUCUAGCGAGACAAGAUCCGCCCGUACCGUAAACCGACACAGGUAGGCGGGGAGAGAAUCCUAAGGUGCGCGGGAAAACCCUCGUUAAGGAACUCGGCAAAUUGCAUCCGUAACCUAGGGAGAAGGAUGGCCCCCUGUCAGUGAAGAGCAGAAACGCUCAGAGCUAAAAGGGGCGGCAGAAAAGAGGCCCAAGCAACUGUUUACCAAAAACACAGGUGCCUGCGAAAGCGAAAGCUGAAGUAUAGGUGCUGACGCCUGCCCGGUGCCGGAAGGUUAAGGAGAGGUGUGAGCGAAAGCGAAGCAUCGAACUGAAGCCCCGGUGAACGGCGGCCGUAACUAUAACGGUCCUAAGGUAGCGAAAUUCCUUGUCGGGUAAGUUCCGACCCGCAUGAAAGGCGUAAUGAUUUGGGCACUGUCUCAACGAGGGGCCCGGUGAAAUUGAAAUACCUGUGAAGAUGCAGGUUACCCGCGACUGGACAGAAAGACCCCAUGGAGCUUCACUGCAGCUUGAGAUUGAAUCCCGGUGACAGAUGCACAGGAUAGGUGGGAGGCGUCGAAGCAUUGCCCUAGGGCGGUGCGGAGCCGAUGUUGGGAUACCACCCUUCUGUUGCUGAGAUUCUAACGCGAGGAGUAACGACCCUGCGGACCCUCUCAGGCAGGCGGUUUGACUGGGGCGGUCGCCUCCGAAAGAGUAACG